GAUGAAGAACGUAGCGAAAUGCGAUAAGUAGUGUGAAUUGCAGAAUUCAGUGAAUCAUCGAAUCUUUGAACGCACAUUGCGCCCCCUGGUAUUCCGGGGGGCAUGCCUGUUCGAGCGUCAUUUCACCACUCAAGCCUCGCUUGGUAUUGGGCAACGCGGUCCGCCGCGUGCCUCAAAUCGACCGGCUGGGACUUCUGUCCCCUAAGCGUUGUGGAAACUAUUCGCUAAAGGGUGUUCGGGAGGCUACGCCGUAAAACAACCCCAUUUCUAAGGUUGACCUCGGAUCAGGUAGGGAUACCCGCUGAACUUAAGCAUAUCAAUAAGCGGAGGA
This 331-nucleotide unclassified non-coding RNA is filed under the name soil metagenome. RNAcentral's name for it is "partial contains 5.8S ribosomal RNA, internal transcribed spacer 2, and large subunit ribosomal RNA". The stretch from base 1 to 120 matches the Rfam family "5.8S ribosomal RNA", at positions 35 to 154 of the family's 154-position model. The record is from RNAcentral.